UUUGAAAACCCNUUGGAUUCCCCUAGUAACUGCGAGUGAAGCGGGAAGAGCUCAAAUUUCAAAUCUGGCGCCCUUGUGGACGUCCGAGUUGUAGUCUGGAGAAGUGUUAUCCGCGUCGGACCGUGUACAAGUCUCCUGGAACGGAGCGUCAUAGAGGGUGAGAAUCCCGUCCAUGACACGGACGCCCGAUGCUAUGUGAGGCACUCUCAAAGAGUCGAGUUGUUUGGGAAUGCAGCUCAAAAUGGGUGGUAAAUUCCAUCUAAAGCUAAAUAUUGGCGAGAGACCGAUAGCGAACAAGUACCGUGAGGGAAAGAUGAAAAGCACUUUGGAAAGAGAGUUAAACAGUACGUGAAAUUGUUGAAAGGGAAACGCUUGAAGUCAGUCGCGUCCGGUGGAACUCAGCCUGGUUUCGACCUGGUGUACUUUCCAUGCGGGACGGGUCAACGUCAAUUUCGGCCGGUGGACAAGGGCGAGGGGAAUGUAGCGUUGCUUCGGCCACGUGUUAUAGCCCCCCGUCGUAUACACCGGGCGGGAUUGAGGACGGCAGCACGCCCUUGUGGCCGGGGGGGUUCGCCCCCCACGUAACGUGCUUAGGAUGUGGCAUCAAAAGGGAANUGAAA
Molecule: ribosomal RNA, 620 nt
Filed under: Sanghuangporus baumii
Lineage: Eukaryota; Fungi; Basidiomycota; Agaricomycetes; Hymenochaetales; Hymenochaetaceae
Description: eukaryotic LSU rRNA
Rfam family: Eukaryotic large subunit ribosomal RNA
Source: RNAcentral